RNAcentral lists this ribosomal RNA (253 nucleotides) under uncultured bacterium. RNAcentral describes it as "partial 16S ribosomal RNA". It matches the Rfam family "Bacterial small subunit ribosomal RNA", at positions 524 to 776 of the family's 1533-position model. The record is from RNAcentral.
UACAGAGGUCUCAAGCGUUGUUCGGAUUCAUUGGGCGUAAAGGGUGUGUAGGUGGCGCGCUAAGUCGGGUGUGAAAUUUCGGAGCUUAACUCCGAAACUGCAUUCGAUACUGGCGUGCUUGAGGACUGGAGAGGAGACUGGAAUUCAUGGUGUAGCAGUGAAAUGCGUAGAGAUCAUGAGGAAGACCAGUGGCGAAGGCGGGUCUCUGGACAGUUCUUGACACUGAGACACGAAGGCCAGGGGAGCAAACGGG